AGAAUAAGUAGUAUGUUUUAAUGAUGUGCUGUAGAAAUUUUAGUUUCUUUUUGUCUAGAAGAUAGGGGCUGGUUUUGCUCAUAGUGAGGAAGCUGAAAUUUGGUGAGUCCAAUUUGACAAAAAUUCAUUUUCUAAUGUUUUCUUUCUUUGAAUUUUGUUUACAGUACAUAUUUUAAGUGUUCCAGAAAUGGAGCUUUUUGUUUGUUUGUUUGUUCGUUUGUUUGUUUGUUUUGAGAUGGAGUUUCGCUCUUGUUGCCCAGGCUGGAGUGCAGUGGCGCAAUCUCAGCUCACCGCAACCUCUGCCUCCUGGGUUCAAGUGAUUCUCCUGCCUCAGCCUCCCGAGAAGCUGGGAUUACAGGCAUGUACCACCAUGCCCAGCUAAUUUUGUAUUUUUAGUAGAGUUGAGGUUUCUCCAUGUUGGUCAGGCUGGUCUCAAACUUCUGACCUCAGGUCAUCUGCCUACCUUGGCCUCCCAAAGUGCUGGGAUUAUAGGCGUGAGCCAUCGCGCCCAGCCUUUUUUUUUUUUUUUUUUUUUGAGACAGAGUCUGUCUCUAUUGCCUAGGCUGGAGUGCAGUGGUGCCAUCUCGGCUCACUGCAACCUCCACCUCCUGGGUUCAAGCGAUUGUCCUGCGUCAGCCUCCCGAGUCGCUGGGAUUACAGGUGCCCAUCACCACACCUGGUUAAUUUUUUUUCUUUUUUUUUAGACGGAGUUUUGUUCUUGUCCAGGCUGGAGUGCAAUGGCUCGAUCUCAGCUGACCGCAACUUCCACCUCCCGGGUUCAAGCGAUUCUCCUGCCUCAGCCUCCCGAGUAGCUGGGGUUACAGGCAUGGGCCACCAUGCCCGGCUAAUUUUGUAUUUUUAGUAGAGAUGGGGUUUCUCCAUGUUGGUCAGGCUGGUCUCAAACUCCUGACCUCAGGUGAUCCGCCCGCUUCGGCCUCCCAAAGUGCUAGGAUUACAGGCAUGAGCCACCGCGCCCAGCCCUGGCUAAUUUUUUUUGUAUUUUUUAGUAGAGAUGAGGUUUCGCCAAGUUGGCCAGGUUGGUCUUGAACUCCUGACCUCAGGUGAUCCACCUGCCUCGUCCUCCCAAAGUGCUGGGAUUACAGGCUGGAGCCACCGCGCCCGGCCUAGAAAAGGAGCAUUUUAAGUGUGCUUUCCUUCAGUGAUUUAUUUUGUCAGAUGUAUACUCAUAUCUUUUGUAGUGUAUUUUUCAGGUAAUAGUGUUUCUUUGGAAGCGUAGGAUGUGCUUUCUGCCACAGAGUUGAGUUAUACCACUGAAAAUACAUGUAUUUAGGCAGAUGUUUUCAACCUCUGCCUAAAAAGUUUUAUGGACUAAAUCCAAUCUGCAGAUAUAUUUUCUUUGGCUCAUACAGUGUUGUACAUUUGAAUUAGUUGUCAACAUUUAAAAAGGAGAUUUUGUGUAAAAAUGUGGAUUCAGGCUGCUUUUGAAAAAGCAGAUCUGGCAGCCAUGGAUCUGCUUUUCUGUUUUGCAGCAACCAUCUUUUAUAGUUGGGGCAUGUCAUUUCCAAUUUGCCCUAGACCCUGCCAACAGUCUGACAUGUAGCCCUGACCUGGACAGAGUGUUAGUUGGUAUUUACUAUUUUAUACCUUUCUAUUACUUGUCUAUUUUCCAUCUUUUAUUACCUGUUCUGGAUAUAUCAUAGAGGUCUCUGAUACUCCCAUUCAUAGUCACUUUGCUGUCUUACAUUAUCAUUGACCUUUUUUUUCUGUCUUGGUACCUUAUAUCCUUCGUUUGUUUCUUCUUAAAAAAAAAAAGAUUUUAGGCAGCUUUGAAAGAUGGAGUUGAAGCAAUGCAGGGGGAACCCCCAAAACACUGAAUUACUUUGUUUCCAAACUGAAGAAAAACAGACUUUUGGAGAGCAUAGAGGCAUUGGUCUCACCCCUGCCGGUGCCUUGUUUAGCUGGUAUGUGUUCAGUGUACUCACUUUUGUUCUGCUUGGUUUGCUUUAUAGCAUCUGGAAUGUUGUCACUGCAUAGCUUGGCCUGUCUCAGAAGAUAGAAGGCCAAGCAGAGUUGUUGAAUGUCUCAUUAAUAAGACUUUUGGCUCUUGUCCUGAGACAUAACAACUAAGGUUAUUCUAUUGUUUUUUAAAAUAAUAUACUGCUGUGAAGUCCAUUGUAUUGUUUUCAGUAGUGCCAUGUGAUUUUUUUGUGUGUAUGUGAGGUUAACAACUCAAUUUCCUUUUUCUCGAUUUUAGUAAAAAGGAUGGCAUGAAUAAAGGAUUGAUAGAGGAAUGCAUAGAGGUGAGACUGUAUUGUAAAGUUAACGAGGAAGUUUCUUUACUCAGGGUCUUUCCUUUAUAGCAGGGCUUCACAGAAGAUGGUCCCAGUUUAUCUAAAGACUAUGUCCUAGAGUCUUGACUAAUUCCUUUGGCUUGAAAGACUAUCGGCUAUCAGAAAAAAACUUUUAAUAUGAAAGUGAUUGAGGAAUUGGUCAGAUUCCGGUGUUGGGUUGCCCAAUAGAGAAAAAGAUUUAGUGGCUGGGUGUGGUGUGGUUCACGCCUGUAAUCCCAGCACUUUGGGAGGCUGAGGUGGGUGGAUCACUUGAGGUCAGGAGUUUGAGACUAGCUUGACCAACAUGGCGAAACCCAUCUCUACUAAAAAUAGAAAAAUUAGGCAGGUGUGGUGGUGUGCGCCUGUAAUCUCAGCUACUUGGGAGGCUGAGGCAGGAGAAUUACUUGAACCCGGGAGGCAAAGGUUGCAGUGAGCUGAGGUUGUACCACUAUACUCCAGCCUGGGCAACAGAGGAGACCCUAUCUCGAAAAGAAAAAAGUUAAAUUUUUAAAUAUAAGAAAUUCUUGUUUCAGGCAUAAGAUGACCCUUUACAUAGCCUUGCUUUGUAUACUCAUAAGUUCUUAUUACUUAAGUGUUAAAGAGUUGCUGUAUCACCUUGGCUUUGGCAGUUUUGAUGUAUCUUUGUACACAUGUAUCUAUUACAUUGGGAAAUGUCCUGAAAGAGGCCUUUCUUGACUCCUCUAUAAUAGUACUCCUCUUCAAAAACUGUUGCUGUUUCCCUCCCCAACCCUACAUUAUUACUAUAUGACAUGAUAUUUAUUUUUAAUCUAUCGUGUUUCAUCCUUCACGUCUUUAGAGAGUAAGAGGGAUUUGUUUUAUUCAAUGUUGAAUCUAGUCACUACCUAGGACAUUGAGUUACGUAGAAGAGGCAUAGUAAAUAUUGAAAAAAGGAUGAGUUAAUAUGGGAAUAAGUAAAUAACUGGCUUGAUGGCAUUCUCUGAAGUGCUCCCAUUGUCAAGUCCUAGUUCACUCAGGUUCUGUUAAGUUAGCAGUUGAAAAUAAUUUGUACAGUGGUAGGUGAGUAGAUUGCCAAGGGGCAAGAGGGUACUUUCUGGAGUGAUAGAAAUAUUCUGUUUUGGUCGUGGUGGUGGUUACACAGUAUGUUUUGUCAAAACUCAUCGAACUGUAUCUUUUUUUUUUUUUUUGAGACAGUCUCACUCUGUUGCCCAGGCUGGAGUGCUGUGGCGCGGUCUCGGCUCACUGCAACCUCGUCUCUACUAAAAAUAAAAAAAUUAGCCAGGCAUGCUGGUGGGCGCCUGUAGUCCCAGCUACUUGGGAGGCUGAGGCAAGAGAAUGGCAUGAACCUGGGAGGGGGAGCUUGCAGUGAACGGAGAUCGUGUGACUGCACUCCAGCCUUCCAGCCUGGGUGACAGAGUGAGACUCCAUCUCAAAAAAAAAAAAAAGUUGAUUUAAGGCUGGGCACAGUGGCUCAUAGCCUGGGCAUGGGCAACAUGAUGAAACCCCACCUCUACAAAAUAAAAUAAAAUAAAAAAUUAGCCGG
Molecule: long non-coding RNA, 3813 nt
Filed under: Homo sapiens (human)
Lineage: Eukaryota; Metazoa; Chordata; Mammalia; Primates; Hominidae
Description: HSALNT0291396
Source: RNAcentral